RNAcentral lists this ribosomal RNA (417 nucleotides) under uncultured soil bacterium. RNAcentral describes it as "bacterial SSU rRNA". It matches the Rfam family "Bacterial small subunit ribosomal RNA", at positions 82 to 494 of the family's 1533-position model. The record is from RNAcentral.
CAACCUUCAUUCAGUGGCGAACGGGUGAGUAAUAACAUCGGAACGUACCCCGUAGUGGGGGAUAACGCCGCGAAAGCGGCGCUAAUACCGCAUAUGCUCUACGGAGGAAAGUGGGGGACCGCAAGGCCUCAUGCUAUGGGCGCGGCCGAUGUCCGAUUAGCUAGUUGGUGGGGUAAUGGCCUACCAAGGCGACGAUCGGUAGCUGGUCUGAGAGGAUGAUCAGCCACACUGGGACUGAGACACGGCCCAGACUCCUACGGGAGGCAGCAGUGGGGAAUUUUGGACAAUGGGGGCAACCCUGAUCCAGCCAUGCCGCGUGCGGGAAGAAGGCCUUCGGGUUGUAAACCGCUUUUGGUCGGGAAGAAAAGGCACCAGCCAAUACCUGGUGUUCUUGACGGUACCGGCAGAAUAAGCACC